This 328-nucleotide ribosomal RNA is filed under the name uncultured fungus. RNAcentral describes it as "SSU rRNA". It matches the Rfam family "Eukaryotic small subunit ribosomal RNA", at positions 39 to 370 of the family's 1831-position model. Lineage: Eukaryota; Fungi. The record is from RNAcentral.
AAAGAUUAAGCCAUGCAUGUCUAAGUAUAAGCAAUUUGUACUGUGAAACUGCGAAUGGCUCAUUAAAUCAGUUAUCGUUUAUUUGAUAGUACCUUACUACAUGGAUACCUGUGGUAAUUCUAGAGCUAAUACAUGCUAAAAACCCCGACUUCGGAAGGGGUGUAUUUAUUAGAUAAAAAACCAAUGCCCUUCGGGGCUCCUUGGUGAAUCAUAAUAACUUAGCGAAUCGCAUGGCCUUGCGCCGGCGAUGGUUCAUUCAAAUUUCUGCCCUAUCAACUUUCGAUGGUAGGAUAGUGGCCUACCAUGGUGGCAACGGGUAACGGGGAAU